This 292-nucleotide ribosomal RNA is filed under the name uncultured bacterium. Its description in RNAcentral is "partial 16S ribosomal RNA". It matches the Rfam family "Bacterial small subunit ribosomal RNA", at positions 505 to 796 of the family's 1533-position model. The record is from RNAcentral.
GUGUCAGCCGCCGCGGUAAUACGGGGGGGGCAAGCGUUGUUCGGAAUUACUGGGCGUAAAGGGCGCGUAGGCGGCCUGGGAAGUUCUGGGUGAAAGCCCCCGGCUCAACCGGGGAAGUGCCUGGAAAACCACUGGGCUGGAGUGCUGGAGAGGAAAGCAGAAUUCCUGGUGUAGCGGUGAAAUGCGUAGAGAUCAGGAGGAAUACCUGCGGCGAAGGCGGCUUUCUGGACAGACACUGACGCUGAGGCGCGAAAGCCAGGGGAGCAAACAGGAUUAGAUACCCCCGUAGUCC